Long non-coding RNA from Pseudopodoces humilis (Tibetan ground-tit), 715 nucleotides. RefSeq lists it as uncharacterized. NCBI's taxonomy places the organism in Eukaryota, Metazoa, Chordata, Aves, Passeriformes, Paridae. The record is from RefSeq and is a predicted model, not a curated record.
CAACGGGAACAAACCCCGGGAAACAACGGGGGACAAACACCGGGGAGCACCGGGAUUCCCGGGAAAUACCGGGGAACAAACACCGGGAAGGAAGGAGAACAAACACCGGGAAGGAAGGAGAACAAACACCGGGAAGGAAGGAGAACAAACACCGGGAAGGAAGGAGAACAAACACCGGGAAGGCUCCGGCAGAGAGCAGCGAGCCCUCGGGGAAAUGAUGGCUUGUUUGGGAGUGAACAGCAGCCUGAAAUUUGUGGGAUUCCAAAUGCGCCCAUUCCCAGCCAGGACUCCGUGACAGAGUUGGAUCAAUUGUUAAUAGCGAGGAGGACGCCGUGAUGCUGAUGCUGAGGGAGAUGCAGCGAUGAACUCUGCUCCAGGAUUUAGCUCUGCCCGCAGCCGAGCGCCGGGGAUGCUGCGGAAAGGUUGCCAGAGAGGCGGAUACCAGCCUGCAUCCAGGUUUUUGCUGCAUCCCCGCUGCCAGACGAGAUAUGGAUCAUCCCUGGGAUUAUUCCUGCCGUGUCCCUGCGCAGGGAGGGGAUGCUGGAGGUGCUGCCGUGCCGGGGAGGUGCCGGUGGGUGCCGGACCCUGCGGCGCUGUGGAUUUUUCAGUUCUGGAGCCGACGCUCCCCUCACGGUGAGGUCUCUGUGGCGCAAUGGACGAGCGCGCUGGACUUCUAAUCCAGAGGUUCCGGGUUCGAGUCCCGGCAGAGAUGAUC